UGGCGACCGGCGCACGGUGCGGUAACGCGUAUGCAACCGUACCUGUAACAGGGGGAUAACACUGAGAAAUCGGUACUAAUACCGCAUAACACUAUGAGAGGCAUCUCUUGUGGUUGAAAGUUUCGGCGGUUACAGAUGGGCAUGCGUUGUAUUAGCUGGUUGGUAAGGUAACGGCUUACCAAGGCGACGAUACAUAGGGGGGACUGAGAGGUUAACCCCCCCACAUUGGUACUGAAACACGGACCAGACUCCUACGGAAGGCAGCAG
RNAcentral lists this ribosomal RNA (267 nucleotides) under uncultured bacterium. RNAcentral's name for it is "partial 16S ribosomal RNA". It matches the Rfam family "Bacterial small subunit ribosomal RNA", at positions 89 to 354 of the family's 1533-position model. The record is from RNAcentral.